GCAUUCAUUUAAGUAACACAUAUGCUAAAACUAGAAUAAUACAGAGAAAAUUAGCAUGGCCCCUAUGUAAAGAUAACUCACAAAUUCAUGAAAUGAAGUAUUUUGUA
Molecule: small nuclear RNA, 107 nt
Organism: Acomys russatus (golden spiny mouse)
Lineage: Eukaryota; Metazoa; Chordata; Mammalia; Rodentia; Muridae
Source: RefSeq, a predicted model, not a curated record